This 443-nucleotide ribosomal RNA is filed under the name uncultured bacterium. Its description in RNAcentral is "partial 16S ribosomal RNA". It matches the Rfam family "Bacterial small subunit ribosomal RNA", at positions 338 to 795 of the family's 1533-position model. The record is from RNAcentral.
CCUACGGGAGGCAGCAGUGAGGAAUAUUGGUCAAUGGCCGUAAGGCUGAACCAGCCAAGUCGCGUGAAGGAAGAAGGCCCUCGGGUUGUAAACUUCUUUUAUUCGGGACGAAACAAAUGACGGUACCGAAUGAAUAAGCCACGGCUAACUACGUGCCAGCAGCCGCGGCAAUACGUAGGUGGCAAGCGUUAUCCGGAUUUACUGGGUGUAAAGGGCGUGUAGGCGGGAGGGUAAGUCAGACGUGAAAUUCCAGGGCUCAACCCUGGAACUGCGUUUGAAACUGUUAUUCUUGAGUGAUGGAGAGGCAGGCGGAAUUCCGGGUGUAGCGGUGAAAUGCGUAGAUAUACGGAGGAACACCAGUGGCGAAGGCAGCCUGCUGAACAGUAACUGACGCUGAGGCGCGAAAGCGUGGGGAGCAAACAGGAUUAGAUACCCCAGUAGUC